CCUACGGGGGGCAGCAGUGAGGAAUAUUGGUCAAUGGGCGCGAGCCUGAACCAGCCAAGUCGCGUGAGGGAAGACGGUCCUAUGGAUUGUAAACCUCUUUUGUCGGGGAGCAAAAGACGCCACGCGUGGCGUUCCGAGAGUACCCGAAGAAAAAGCAUCGGCUAACUCCGUGCCAGCAGCCGCGGUAAUACGGAGGAUGCGAGCGUUAUCCGGAUUUAUUGGGUUUAAAGGGUGCGCAGGCGGAAGAUUAAGUCAGCGGUAAAAUUGAGAGGCUCAACCUCGUCGAGCCGUUGAAACUGGUUGUCUUGAGUGGGUGAGAAGUAUGCGGAAUGCGUGGUGUAGCGGUGAAAUGCAUAGAUAUCACGCAGAACUCCGAUUGCGAAGGCAGCAUACCGGCGCUCCACUGACGCUCAUGCACGAAAGUGUGGGUAUCGAACAGGAUUAGAUACCCCUGUAGUC
Molecule: ribosomal RNA, 459 nt
Filed under: uncultured bacterium
Lineage: Bacteria
Description: partial 16S ribosomal RNA
Rfam family: Bacterial small subunit ribosomal RNA
Source: RNAcentral